This 391-nucleotide ribosomal RNA is filed under the name uncultured bacterium. RNAcentral's name for it is "bacterial SSU rRNA". It matches the Rfam family "Bacterial small subunit ribosomal RNA", at positions 963 to 1353 of the family's 1533-position model. The record is from RNAcentral.
GAAGAACCUUACCACCCCUUGACAUCCUCGGAACUGCCUGGAGACAGGCAGGUGCCUUCGGGAACCGAGUGACAGGUGCUGCAUGGCUGUCGUCAGCUCGUGUCGUGAGAUGUUGGGUUAAGUCCCGUAACGAGCGCAACCCUUGUCCUUAUUUGCCAGCGGGUCAGGCCGGGAACUCUAGGGAGACUGCCGGUGACAAACCGGAGGAAGGUGGGGAUGAUGUCAAGUCAUCAUGGCCCUCACGGGGUGGGCUACAAACGUGCUACAAUGGGCGGCACAGAGGGCUGCGAACCAGCAAUGGCAAGCGAAUCCCAAAAAACCGCUCGUAGUCCGGAUAGGAGUCUGCAACUCGACUCCUUGAAGUCGGAAUCGCUAGUAAUCGCGAAUCAGA